UGUGCGGGUGGUUAAUUAUAUAUGGAGUUGAGUAGCGAUGUGUCUAAAUUAAAGAGGAACUUGCCAAUUUUGGUCGCUGAGAUAAUAUAAAACUUUUUCUAUAGAGAUUAAAAGAAAACGUAACUUUGAAAUCCAAUUAUAACAGUUCAGAUUAUCGAACGUCUUGUCUACCUUAAUUAGUGCCUAGUGGCACCAUAAAAAAAAAAAAAAAAAUCCUUUUUUGCGGAGAUAAAAUGGUUAAUCGUUUUUUUAUAAUCUAUUUAGGGGAGGACCACGCAAAAACUUACUUACUUGGAAAAAAAAUAAACAUCAUCUCACUCACUCUCUCGGUGGUGACUUUAUAUAUUAAAUAUCACCGACCGACAGGUCUGAAAUUAUAUUUGUGGAUACAUAUUUUUGGAGUGAAUUGUUGUACUAUCUUUAUAUAUGCUAUAAUAUCUUGUAGGAUGUCAAAAAAAAAAAAAAAAACAACUAUAUCUUGUAUUCGUAUAACUAAGUUUUACACAUGUGUAACCCUACGUUUAAUUUGGUUAGGAUUUAUCUUUCAAACCUUUUUUUUUAUAAAAGAUUUAUAGGAACGUUAUCG
Molecule: long non-coding RNA, 586 nt
Filed under: Capsella rubella
Lineage: Eukaryota; Viridiplantae; Streptophyta; Magnoliopsida; Brassicales; Brassicaceae
Description: long non-coding RNA (CRUB_LNC003451)
Source: RNAcentral